AUUGAACGCUGGCGGCAUGCCUUACACAUGCAAGUCGAGCGGUAAGGCCCUUUCGGGGGUACACGAGCGGCGAACGGGUGAGUAACACGUGGGUGACCUGCCCUCAGCUCUGGGAUAAGCCUGGGAAACCCGGGUCUAAUACCGGAUAUGACUCCAUGACGCAUGUUGUGGGGUGGAAAGCCUUGUGCGGCUGAGGAUGGGCCCGCGGCCUAUCAGCUUGUUGGUGGGGUGAUGGCCUACCAAGGCGACGACGGGUAGCCGGCCUGAGAGGGCGACCGGCCACACUGGGACUGAGACACGGCCCAGACUCCUACGGGAGGCAGCAGUGGGGAAUCUUGCGCAAGUGGGCGAAAGCCUGACGCAGCGACGCCGCGUGAGGGAUGACGCC
This 388-nucleotide ribosomal RNA is filed under the name uncultured bacterium. Its description in RNAcentral is "bacterial SSU rRNA". It matches the Rfam family "Bacterial small subunit ribosomal RNA", at positions 28 to 415 of the family's 1533-position model. The record is from RNAcentral.